Molecule: ribosomal RNA, 502 nt
Filed under: Pichia kudriavzevii
Lineage: Eukaryota; Fungi; Ascomycota; Pichiomycetes; Pichiales; Pichiaceae
Description: partial large subunit ribosomal RNA
Rfam family: Eukaryotic large subunit ribosomal RNA
Source: RNAcentral
GAGCUCAGAUUUGAAAUCGUGCUUUGCGGCACGAGUUGUAGAUUGCAGGUUGGAGUCUGUGUGGAAGGCGGUGUCCAAGUCCCUUGGAACAGGGCGCCCAGGAGGGUGAGAGCCCCGUGGGAUGCCGGCGGAAGCAGUGAGGCCCUUCUGACGAGUCGAGUUGUUUGGGAAUGCAGCUCCAAGCGGGUGGUAAAUUCCAUCUAAGGCUAAAUACUGGCGAGAGACCGAUAGCGAACAAGUACUGUGAAGGAAAGAUGAAAAGCACUUUGAAAAGAGAGUGAAACAGCACGUGAAAUUGUUGAAAGGGAAGGGUAUUGCGCCCGACAUGGGGAUUGCGCACCGCUGCCUCUCGUGGGCGGCGCUCUGGGCUUUCCCUGGGCCAGCAUCGGUUCUUGCUGCAGGAGAAGGGGUUCUGGAACGUGGCUCUUCGGAGUGUUAUAGCCAGGGCCAGAUGCUGCGUGCGGGGACCGAGGACUGCGGCCGUGUAGGUCACGGAUGCUGG